GAUGAAUGCUGGCGGCGUGCCUAAUACAUGCAAGUCGAGCGGUAAGGCCCUUCGGGGUACACGAGCGGCGGACGGCUGAGUAACGCGUGGGAACAUGCCCCAAAGUGAGGGAUAACGCACCGAAAGGUGUGCUAAUACCGCAUAUGGUCUUCGGAUUAAAGGAUUUAUCCGCUUUGGGAGUGGCCCGCGUACGAUUAGAUUGUUGGUGAGGUAACGGCUCACCAAGUCGACGAUCGUUAACUGGGUCUGAGAGGAUGAUCAGUCAGACUGGAACUGAGACAC
Molecule: ribosomal RNA, 282 nt
Filed under: uncultured bacterium
Lineage: Bacteria
Description: partial 16S ribosomal RNA
Rfam family: Bacterial small subunit ribosomal RNA
Source: RNAcentral